RNAcentral lists this ribosomal RNA (253 nucleotides) under uncultured bacterium. RNAcentral's name for it is "partial 16S ribosomal RNA". It matches the Rfam family "Bacterial small subunit ribosomal RNA", at positions 524 to 776 of the family's 1533-position model. The record is from RNAcentral.
UACAGAGGGUGCAAGCGUUAAUCGGAAUUACUGGGCGUAAAGCGUGCGUAGACGGUUACAUAAGUCGGGUGUGAAAGCCCCGGGCUCAACCUGGGAAUUGCAUUCGAGACUGCGUAGCUAGGGUGCGGAAGAGGGAAGCGGAAUUUCCGGUGUAGCGGUGAAAUGCGUAGAUAUCGGAAGGAACACCAGUGGCGAAAGCGGCUUCCUGGUCCAGCACCGACGUUCAGGCACGAAAGCCAGGGGAGCAAACGGG